This 1242-nucleotide ribosomal RNA is filed under the name Euschistus heros (neotropical brown stinkbug). RNAcentral describes it as "16S ribosomal RNA". The stretch from base 812 to 1172 matches the Rfam family "Archaeal large subunit ribosomal RNA", at positions 2154 to 2712 of the family's 2987-position model. The record is from RNAcentral. Lineage: Eukaryota; Metazoa; Arthropoda; Insecta; Hemiptera; Pentatomidae.
UUUAUAUUUAUCUUUAAUAGAAAUAACUUUAUUUAUAGUAUAAUUUUUAGAAUAAAUUGAUUGAUUUAUAGUUCAUUUAACUGUGAAGGUUAAUAAUUUUAUAAAUAAUAAGUAUAAUUUAUUUUUUGUACCUUUUGUAUCAGGGUUUAUCAAUAUAUUCUAUAUAUAAUAGGUUUCCCGAAAUUAAAAGAGAUAUAAUUAUUUGUUUUUUUAUGUGACAUAAUAAUUUAUAAAAUAAUUAUAGAGGUUAUAUGCUAUUCAUUUUUAAAUAUCUGGUUUUUUAAUAAAUGAAUUUAAUUCAGGAUUAAUUAUUUCUUUAGUAUAAUUUUAUUUAUUAAAUUAUAGUUAAUCUAAUAUUUUAAGGGAUAAGCUUUAAGAAUAUUUUAAUGAUUAAAUAAUUCCAUAAGGAAUUGGUAGGAUUAGAAAUUUCCAUCUUUAUAUUUUGUUAUAAUUAAUUUUUGUAUGGUAUUAAUUUUUUAUGAAUCUUAUUUUUUAUUAAAAAUUAUUGUUUAAUUUUUAAUCAAUAGUUAUAAUGUUAGAAUUAGUAAGUUUUGCAAUUAAUAUAUAGUAACUCGGCAAAAUUAUUCUUCACCUGUUUAUCAAAAACAUGUUCUGGUGUAAUUUUAUAUUAGAUCUAACCUGCUCAAUGAAACGUUGUUUUAAAUGGCCGCGGUAUUUUGACCGUGCGAAGGUAGCAUAAUCAUUUGUCUUUUAAUUGGAGGCUUGUAUGAAUGGUUGGAUGAAGGAGUGGCUUUCUUUAUAUUAUGGAAUUGAAUUUAACUUUUAAGUCAAAAGGCUUAGAUUUUUAAAUGGGACGAGAAGACCCUAUAGAAUUUUAUUUUUAUAUAAUUAAUUUAUUGGUUUGGUUAAUAUUUUAUUUAAUUAUUUUAAAAAUUUUGUUGGGGUGACAGUAAGAUUUAUUUAACUCUUAUAAUUAAUUUUUUUAUUAAUUAGUAUAUAUUAGAUCCUUAAUUUAGGAUAAUUAGAUUAAAUUACCUUAGGGAUAACAGCGUAAUUCUACUGGAGAGUUCUUAUUGAUAGUGGGGUUUGCGACCUCGAUGUUGGAUUAAAAUAAGAUUUGAGUGCAGAAGCUUAAUUUCUAGGUCUGUUCGACCUUUAAUUUUUUACAUGAUCUGAGUUCAGACCGGCGUGAGCCAGGUCGGUUUCUAUCUUUUUUAUUAAUUAUGUAUUUUAGUACGAAAGGACCAUUUACAUUAAAAAUUUUAUUUAUCUUUGAUUAAU